AACGUAGGAGGCGAGCGUUAACCGGAAUUACUGGGCGUAAAGCGCGUGUAGGCGGUCCCGCAAGUUGGAUGUGAAAUCACCUGGCUUAACCGGGAGAGUUCGUUUAAUACUGCUAGACUAGAGAGCGGGAGAGGGGGGUGGAAUUCCGCGUGUAGCGGUGAAAUGCGUAGAGAUCCGGAGGAACACCGAUGGCGAAGGCUGCCCCCUGGACUGUCUCUGACGCUCAUACACGAAAGAGAGGGUAGCAAACAGG
RNAcentral lists this ribosomal RNA (253 nucleotides) under uncultured bacterium. Its description in RNAcentral is "partial 16S ribosomal RNA". It matches the Rfam family "Bacterial small subunit ribosomal RNA", at positions 524 to 776 of the family's 1533-position model. The record is from RNAcentral.